GGCGGUGUAGGCCAAUUGGAAGAGUCGACCGGCUCAGACCCGGGAUGUUGGGGGUUCGAAUCCCUCCACCGCUACCA
Molecule: transfer RNA, 77 nt
Filed under: Deltaproteobacteria bacterium
Lineage: Bacteria; Pseudomonadati; Myxococcota; Myxococcia
Description: tRNA-Leu
Rfam family: tRNA
About the family: Transfer RNA (tRNA) molecules are approximately 80 nucleotides in length. Their secondary structure includes four short double-helical elements and three loops (D, anti-codon, and T loops).
Source: RNAcentral